UACAGAGGUGCCGAGCGUUAGGCGGAAUCACUGGGCUUAAAGCGUGUGUAGGCGGACUUCUAAGUACCUUGUGAAAUCCCACGGCUCAACCGUGGAACUGCUUGGUAUACUGGUCGUCUUGAGCCAUCUAGGGGCUGUCGGAACAAAUGGUGGAGCGGUGAAAUGCGUAGAUAUCAUUUGGAACGCCAAAGGUGAAAACAGACAGCUGGGGAUGUGCUGACGCUGAGACACGAAAGCCAGGGGAGCGAACGGG
RNAcentral lists this ribosomal RNA (253 nucleotides) under uncultured bacterium. RNAcentral's name for it is "partial 16S ribosomal RNA". It matches the Rfam family "Bacterial small subunit ribosomal RNA", at positions 524 to 776 of the family's 1533-position model. The record is from RNAcentral.